CCCUCAGAAUAGCUUUCUCUUUUUUUGUAGGCGGAGAAGAGGAGCCCUGCACGCCUUUUCUUCCUUUUUCCCCAGCAUGCAUGUGUGUUCUUCUUCUCCUCCUUCUCCGACUUCCAAAGGCAUGCAUGCCUCUGGUUGCCAUUUUUUUUUCUUUUUAACCAAAACAGUGUCGUUUUGAGAUUUUUCAAAACAACAUUGUUUUGCCCUUUUUCUUUCUUAAUGCCUAGUUUGGGCUGGGUUCUGUUUUUCCUAGGCCAGGGUGUUACAUUAUAUAUAUAAUCA
RNAcentral lists this long non-coding RNA (282 nucleotides) under Carica papaya (papaya). RNAcentral's name for it is "long non-coding RNA (CPAP_LNC000764)". The record is from RNAcentral. Lineage: Eukaryota; Viridiplantae; Streptophyta; Magnoliopsida; Brassicales; Caricaceae.